AGAGUUUGAUCCUGGCUCAGAACGAACGCUGGCGGUAUGCUUAACACAUGCAAGUCGAACGGACUAUCUGGAGCUUGCUCUAGAUAUGUUAGUGGCAAACGGGUGAGUAACGCGUGGGAAUCUACCCAUCAGUACGGAACAACAUUCGGAAACGAAUGCUAAUACCGUAUAUUCUCUAUGGAGGAAAGAUUUAUCGCUGA
This 200-nucleotide ribosomal RNA is filed under the name uncultured bacterium. RNAcentral describes it as "partial 16S ribosomal RNA". It matches the Rfam family "Bacterial small subunit ribosomal RNA", at positions 8 to 221 of the family's 1533-position model. The record is from RNAcentral.